RNAcentral lists this ribosomal RNA (450 nucleotides) under uncultured bacterium. RNAcentral's name for it is "bacterial SSU rRNA". It matches the Rfam family "Bacterial small subunit ribosomal RNA", at positions 335 to 799 of the family's 1533-position model. The record is from RNAcentral.
ACUCCUACGGGAGGCAGCAGUGGGAAGUCUUGCGCAAUGGGCGAAAGCCUGACGCAGCCAUGCCGCGUGAAUGAUGAAGGUCUUAGGAUUGUAAAAUUCUUUCACCGGGGACGAUAAUGACGGUACCCGGAGAAGAAGCCCCGGCUAACUUCGUGCCAGCAGCCGCGGUAAUACGAAGGGGGCUAGCGUUGCUCGGAAUUACUGGGGCGUAAAGGGGAGCGUAGGCGGACAUUUAAGUCAGGGGUGAAAUCCCGGGGCUCAACCUCGGAAUUGCCUUUGAUACUGGAUGUCUUGAGUGUGAGAGAGGUAUGUGGAACUCCGAGUGUAGAGGUGAAAUUCGUAGAUAUUCGGAAGAACACCAGUGGCGAAGGCGACAUACUGGCUCAUUACUGACGCUGAGGCUCGAAAGCGUGGGGAGCAAACAGGAUUAGAUACCCUGGUAGGAUAGCG